UUUAAAUUCUAUAAAGGACUAUAUUCGCAGCUCACUUUUAUCAAUAAAUUCGUGUAUUUAUUUAUGAUAUUCUAUAAUAUAUGUAACGUGAACUAUAUACUAAAUGCACGCAUUUAUUAUAAAAGUAAGCUGAGAAUAUGGACCAAAAUGUUUAAAUAAUGCAUUUAAUUACUUGGAUAUAAAUCAGUACAUCGGUUGCAUAGUUGACAAAAGAAUUUCAAUUUAUGUCCGAUAACUAUGGUAUAUUCAUUUGCAUGUCUGGACUAUUUUCAACAGCUUACUGCAGCUUAUACAUUUUCACUUAUGUAUUUCCUUUUUAAAAUACAGCAUAAAUGUGGAUAUUGUGGGUGGCUCUUUAGCUUCACCACAAAUUUUAUUGAUCAUAAGUGCUUCAAGCAGUACGCUGAAGGAGAAGACCACAUCAGCAUCGAUGAAAACCAUAUCGUAACAAUAAGUAUAAUUUGUUGGCAAGAACCGCUAAUACAAGAUUAGAAUCCAUGUUUAAGAGAUUCCAGGUUUUUUGUGCUAGACACGCGUCGUCAACCAGUCAACCACUCCGUAUACUUUAUUUAGGUUAUUUCACGCAUACUCGUACAUACAUUACACACAUAUAUUACGCUUCAACACAUUCUUACAUCAAAGUAUCUAUUUCACAUGACGCGUAUUUAGCAAUACGCUUAAAUAAUAACAACCAAUCGAUUUAUUUCUGUUGUAUUGUACAACAGAAGUCCUGAUCUGUUAUUGGUCAGGCUUGUUACGCUUUAUGCGCAUUUAACGCAAAGUACGCGCCAUGUAAAAUGGAAUUUUCAGAAUAGCGUACAUUCUAGUAAUUUACUAGAAUACGCAGUGUGCCUAUUCUAGCUACUCACUAGGUUACGCAGGUUACGCUUACGCAAGUUACGCUCCAUGUAACGGCACCCUGAGAGAGGAGAGUGAUUGAAAUGGGUGGUCUCGGUCUGUGUGAGAGUGAGAGAGAGGGAGAGAGAGAGAGGAAGAGGAGAGAGAUGGAAGAAGGAGGAAGAGUGAAAAGAAGGAAAGGAAAGAGAGAGGAAGUAUAUUACUAGCUAUUCCAGAAAUAUUUUUUAUCCUUUCUCUUUAUAAACAUCUUUCGAUGGCUGACUCAUUCCUAAAGGUGCCCUUUCAUGCAGCGAAUUUUUCGCUGCGAAUGAUUUUUAGCGAGUAGCGAAUAAUUCGCCGUAAAGUGGCGAAUAAUUCGCCACGAAUAGUUUGUGAGCGUCACAUCUGUAUGGUUGCGUGUCAACAAUAGAAAAUCUUGAAAUCUUUGUAAUGGACGACGAGUCGGUUAUAAACUGGACUUGGUAUAACCACCAACUGCAGUGGUUAUUGCAUAUGUACAAUAUGUACAAUAAGCAAAUUAUUAUUAUAUUGUACAGGAAAGAAAAGCUGCUGCAGUUGCAGCUACACUUUUACAUUUGAGAAAAAGUGGAAAAAAAA
This is a long non-coding RNA of Ooceraea biroi (clonal raider ant), 1455 nucleotides long. RefSeq lists it as uncharacterized. NCBI's taxonomy places the organism in Eukaryota, Metazoa, Arthropoda, Insecta, Hymenoptera, Formicidae. The record is from RefSeq and is a predicted model, not a curated record.